UCGAUUUCCAUUCUCUUUCUUUGGAGAU
Molecule: non-coding RNA, 28 nt
Filed under: Rattus norvegicus (Norway rat)
Lineage: Eukaryota; Metazoa; Chordata; Mammalia; Rodentia; Muridae
Source: RNAcentral